AACAAAAAGCGGUCUGGUCUA
Molecule: non-coding RNA, 21 nt
Filed under: Arabidopsis thaliana (thale cress)
Lineage: Eukaryota; Viridiplantae; Streptophyta; Magnoliopsida; Brassicales; Brassicaceae
Source: RNAcentral